RNAcentral lists this long non-coding RNA (623 nucleotides) under Gallus gallus (chicken). The record is from RNAcentral. Lineage: Eukaryota; Metazoa; Chordata; Aves; Galliformes; Phasianidae.
UUCCACUGUCCUUAUUCCCCUGAAUCAUGUAAGGCAGAAGACAUAGAAACCUCAAGAUUGAAGUUGAGCCUAAGAAGAAGAGGUGGACAGGAGAAGUAGCAACAUCACUGUGUGUUUUUGAAGCCCAUAGCUUCAUCAGCAUCUUCAUCACAGGCCUUUCUCCAAAUUCUCCAAACCCAGCAUACAGCUGUCCUUGGAAAUGCUCUUCAGAAAGACUCUCAGCAUCACUACUACUAUAGAAGCUUCUCCAUCUCUACAAAGUGCUCCAACAAUUACAGUCCAGUAGAAAGGUUUUUUGUUGUUGUUGGUUGGUUGGUUGGUUGUUUUUGUUUUUUGUCGUGGCUGGUAAAACACUAAUUUUUGUACUGACAAAUAAUUAAGGGUCUCAAAACCUGCACUGGUUUGUCUUGAAAAAACUUGCUUUUUUUUUGUUUUAGCUAUAAUAAGUAUUGCCCAGCAGUUAAGUGACUACUGCCUAUCCUGUUUUAGCACAGUUCUAGAAAUGCAAAGGUAAAGGGCUAACAAAGCUAAGUAAUCACUUCAAAAAACAGCAGCCUUUAAUGUUAAAUGGAGAUGAGGCAACUACUGUGCAACUUUUAAAAUUCAGUUGGGGUCAAUGGAUA